This 481-nucleotide ribosomal RNA is filed under the name Epinephelus fuscoguttatus (brown-marbled grouper). Its description in RNAcentral is "partial 16S ribosomal RNA". It matches the Rfam family "Bacterial large subunit ribosomal RNA", at positions 1831 to 2511 of the family's 2925-position model. The record is from RNAcentral. Lineage: Eukaryota; Metazoa; Chordata; Actinopteri; Perciformes; Serranidae.
GCUAAACCGAAAGUAUAAGAGGUCCCGCCUGCCCUGUGACUAUAUGUUUAACGGCCGCGGUAUUUUGACCGUGCGAAGGUAGCGCAAUCACUUGUCUUUUAAAUGGGGACCUGUAUGAAUGGCAUAACGAGGGCUUAACUGUCUCCUCUUUCAAGUCAAUGAAAUUGAUCUCCCCGUGCAGAAGCGAGGAUAGAUACAUAAGACGAGAAGACCCUAUGGAGCUUUAGACACUAAAGCAGAUCAGUAUUAAUACCCUGAACAUAGGCUACGAAUAAACUGACCCCUGCCCUAAUGUCUUUGGUUGGGGCGACCGCGGAGAAAAAUAAAACCCCCGCAAGGACUAAAUGUACUACAUUCACAAACAAGAGCGACAGCUCUAACUAACAGAACUUCUGACCAAUAAGAUCCGGCAAUGCCGAUCAAUGAACCGAGUUACCCUAGGGAUAACAGCGCAAUCUCCUCUUAGAGCCCAUAUCGACGA